CUACGGGAUGCAGCAGUGGGGAAUAUUGGACAAUGGGGGAAACCCUGAUCCAGCAAUGCCGCGUGUGUGAAGAAGGCCUGCGGGUUGUAAAGCACUUUCGGUUGGGAGGACUGCUUCUAGCACUAAUAUUGUUGGAAGUUGACGUUACCUUCAGAAGAAGCACCGGCUAACUCCGUGCCAGCAGCCGCGGUAAUACGGAGGGUGCAAGCGUUAAUCGGAAUUACUGGGCGUAAAGCGCGCGUAGGCGGCUAGAUCAGUCGGGUGUGAAAGCCCCGGGCUUAACCUGGGAACUGCAUCCGAUACUGUCUAGCUUGAGUACAGGAGAGGAGAGUGGAAUUCCACAUGUAGCGGUGAAAUGCGUAGAUAUGUGGAGGAACACCAAUGGCGAAGGCAGCUCUCUGGCCUGAUACUGACGUUGAGGUGCGAAAGCGUGGGGAGCAAACCGGAUUAGAUACCCUGGUAGUC
RNAcentral lists this ribosomal RNA (465 nucleotides) under uncultured bacterium. Its description in RNAcentral is "partial 16S ribosomal RNA". It matches the Rfam family "Bacterial small subunit ribosomal RNA", at positions 339 to 795 of the family's 1533-position model. The record is from RNAcentral.